CCAGACUCCUACGGGAGGCAGCAGUGGGGAAUAUUGGGCAAUGGGCGCAAGCCUGACCCAGCAACGCCGCGUGAAGGAAGAAGGCUUUCGGGUUGUAAACUUCUUUUAAGGGGGAAGAGCAGAAGACGGUACCCCUUGAAUAAGCCACGGCUAACUACGUGCCAGCAGCCGCGGUAAUACGUAGGUGGCAAGCGUUGUCCGGAUUUACUGGGUGUAAAGGGCGUGCAGCCGGGACUGCAAGUCAGAUGUGAAAUCCGCGGGCUUAACCCGCGAACUGCAUUUGAAACUGUUUCCCUUGAGUGUCGGAGAGGUAAUCGGAAUUCCUUGUGCAGCGGUGAAAUGCGUAGAUAUACGGAGGAACACCAGUGGCGAAGGCGGCCUGCUGGACAUUAACUGACGCUGAGGCGCGAAAGCGUGGGGAGCAAACAGGAUUAGAUGCCCCAGUA
RNAcentral lists this ribosomal RNA (446 nucleotides) under uncultured bacterium. RNAcentral describes it as "bacterial SSU rRNA". It matches the Rfam family "Bacterial small subunit ribosomal RNA", at positions 331 to 792 of the family's 1533-position model. The record is from RNAcentral.